This is a long non-coding RNA of Sarcophilus harrisii (Tasmanian devil), 4695 nucleotides long. NCBI's taxonomy places the organism in Eukaryota, Metazoa, Chordata, Mammalia, Dasyuromorphia, Dasyuridae. The record is from Ensembl.
CCGCCGCUAGGCCAGCAGGUGGAGGGCUCCCACAGGAAGGAUAGGUUUCGUUGACCUGCUUAAUGCAAACUAAAACCAGUUUUCGAUUGGCGAGUUCCAGAGGACGAGGGCUUCAGCCGGGCCCCAGCACCUUCCCGAAAGAUAAUUGGCCCACCUGCUAUGGGACCUGGAGACCUCCUGCUUACCGCGGUCUACAAGAGCUUUGUAACAGUAAUUUCUGCCCAAAGGAGACUUAAAACAAAAAACAAAAAACAAAAAUCCAAAACGAGUAAAAACUAAAAUGAGCAUUUCUGGCAGAACCCAGUCUGGCUCUGCCCGACAUCAGCUGCCCGAGGAUCUGAAGAUUUGGCUUUUAAGGGUAAUCACCAGUAAGUAACUGGUAAAGCUCUUUGCUGCGUCUCCUCGCGAUGCAAAGUGGUCCCAGUAGCCGGAAGGGAAGGGAAGGAGAGGACAGGACAGGACAGAAAAGAAAUAGGAGUCAGCUUCUCUUCUUUCUCAGAGUGGGGGUCAAGGGGAGGGGGUGAACAGCCUGGUCGAAUCUUGGCGAGACGGCCUUGAGCUUCAGCAGCUUUGCCCUUUUAAUUAGCGCCAACUACCUUCUAUCCGCAGCCCUCGGGCUCCGGUGCUCUUCCCCCUCACCCCGGACUUUUUAGAUGUACCAACUCCAUCCCGGGGCCAGGGUUGGGGUCUUCAAGCCUCGAAGAUCCCAAGACCCAGAGGGACAGAGAAAGGAGCCGUGGUCCCGGCGGGCGGGACCUUCUUGGCCACGCACCGAGGUAACAAGGUUGUAUAAAUCGUUGCUUACCCUCCCACCUCCCUCCUUUUGCAUGUCUUUAAGAGUCACUGGAACCUGAGUGGAGAGGUUUGGCAAUUGCCAUCUUUAUAGAGACCGAGGUGGAAGUGGUGGUGGUGAAGGUGGGGGAUCAGAGACAUUUCUGCCUUCCAAGGAUUUAGGGGCUUCGCGCUGGAUUGGGAACUCCGAAACCAAAAAGAAGGGAAAGGAUGACCCAGCUGAUUUUAGACCCGGGGAAGAGCUGUGCUAAUUCACUCGCUGGACUUCACCUGCAGUCUGUGCAAGGAGAGAUCGGAGUGAGAUCCGUCUUACUCAGUCUACACUCGGACAAAGGCGUCUCGGAUGGCGCCUGCUGCCCUCACUAGAUUUUCCGGUUCCCCUCGGGCUGCCUCAGAACGUGGUGUGGGGACGGGGGCAGGUGUGAGCCAGAGGGACAUCGCGCUCUCCCAGGUAGCUCUCCGGGCCGAAGCUGUUGGCCGGCACGUGGCAGGAGCUUUCUUCUGGGAGUCGAGCCGAGUGCAGGCUCCUUCUGCGACUCCCUGGGUCAGCCCCUGGCCAAAGGCCGCCACUCUAAAGCCUGUCAGACGGCUCCAAGUUCGGGGACCAGCCAGCCAGUGUGCAGAGGAACUCGCGGGUCCCAGGAGCCUGGCGGGCUCUAUCUCCCAUGGGGGGUAGGAAUGAGCACCGUUGCUUUUGACAUUCACUCUCCUGGUGGGGAUUGUAAAGCUCAGACGCUCCUCCCCUCCCCCCAAGACUGGACGCCCCGUCGGGGCUUCGCAGGGCCGGAUUUCUCUUGGCCCAGUGCAAAUUGUAUCGAGCUGACAAACUGACUAGUCACGAACGGAAUUUAGGGAGAUGAAAACGGAAAGUUGGACCCCUUAUCCCACUUGAGACUUGAUAAUGAUGGUGAUGAUGAUGAUGAUGAUGAUGAUGUUAAGCUCUGCCAGCCUGGCUGGUUAGAAUGAGCCAGCAGCUGAGGGAAGCAAUAAAGGGAGAGGAAAUUUCUGCUCUGCACCCGGGGGGAAUCGUCCUGUUUGGGGAAAUCGUGGAGAAAUCACCGCUCUGGGGACAAUGGUGUAGGCUGGAGAGGGGGGACUGAGGAGAGGUGGACAGGACGCCGGCCCAGACCGAGGCACGCACAGUCAACUGUUUUCCCGAGACAAAGACUGCAGAAACGCAAUGCACAAAGAGAGACAUACAGACAUAAUAAAGUCACACACCCCAAUAGACACAAACACACAGGCGGCGGACACACACAGAGACGUACACUACGAGCCUACGGACGCACAAUGCAGAUACUCCCAGCCAUACAACAGGCACACGUACACACCCCGAAGACACGCGCUACUCCCGACACAAGUUGGCGGAUUGGCACGGGGGCGCCCAAGCAAACUAUCUGCAUACCCCAGACACAGUUGCCACACGUAUACUAGAACUACACAACACGGAGCUUUACAUACGGCGCGGACACACACCCACCACAAACAGGCACACUACAUACAUGCAACGGACACAACAUGCAGACCUCAAAGACACGCCCACACUCAAAAGCACGUUUGAAUUUCUCUCUUGAGAGAUUUCAACGAAGCCAAACCUCUAGGAAAGUCUCUCUCUCUCUGCAACUUGGAAGAGAAGGGUUGGACAGCUCUCCGUGGAGUCCCAGUCUCAUACCCCCAAACCCACUCCACGAGCCCGUCCGCCCAGCUUGCCCUUUAACCUCUGUCCCUUGGGUGUCUUUAUUUUGGGGAAUACGUUCCUAAAUUGCUGCUACCUCCAAGGCUUGCGAAUCCAAACGAAUCGAUUUUCCUUAUAGAUUAAAAAAAAGAAAAGAAAAUGUGUGACAGAGACAGAGAGAGACAGACAGAGAGAGAGAGAGAGAGAGAGAGAAGAGAAUGAGAAUAUGAAUAAUCUUCCCUUUCUCAGACUUAAAAGAAUUAACUUCUAGCUCAGCUUUUAGAAUCAGUCAUAGAAGAAGCUACCGAAGAGAAUCCAUAUCAUAACCGAGAGAGCGCCCUUGGUCUGCAUCCCGACUCUGAUACCUAUUUUAUCCUUGGGAACGAACCUCAGUUUCCUUUCUUUGUAAAAUGGGGCUGUUAUGUGUAAUGCUCAUUUAACAAUGUGACUGUGAGACAAACACAGUCCUAGCUGUCAAGCUUUUGGUAAAUCUUAAAGCGUAAUAGAAAAGCAAGUUAUUGAGACUGAAGUUUUGUCCAAAGAUCGAUAGACCUCCUCUCCAAUCGGGUGGACUAGCCCAAAGCCAGUGGACUGCGUGACUUUCCGAUUCAGAGAACAAUUGAAUUGGACGGGAAUAUUUUAUUUUUACAGCAUUUCGUUUGCCUGCGUUUCUAGAGUAUGGUGGCUCCAUCCAGGAAGCUCCAAGCGCUCUCCAAUUUUUAAUAUCAGAGGAUUUAGAAAAUAAAAUAAAACCAAAAAAGGGGAUCCACACCUGUGGAACUAGAGCUGUAGAGCCCCUGCGGGCUAUCUUCUCCUGCCCUCUGGCUAGGUGCUAGAUUUGAUUGUCUUCCUCCUUCCUCUCCUCACCUGCCCCCUCCUCAGUAGCUAUCCACCUCCAACUUUUCCUAGAGAGCGCAAAGUCAGCUAACCAACGAGCACUCGAGCCUCUCUGCUCUCCCCACUGUGGAAUUUUCUCAGUCUCCAAGACUCAGCGGGUUCUAGCUUGCAUUUGUGUUUAUCGCAGGCAAGACCAAAUGCAUCUCCAGCGGCGCCUUUUAGCUCAGUCUCCCCAGCCAUUCCCGAACCUAGCGGGCUAGGCCAGGUACUCAGGAGCCCGUGCAGGCAAACGAAGUCCCGGCAAGUCUUUGAGGUUAGCUUAGGCUCCCUUGACAGGAAGCGACCUGGGAGACUAACUUUCUCUGUUUCUGUGCAGCUCAACCCAGCUCCCAGAGCACCUCGCAAACGUAACCUCAGCUAAGCUUUCCCAUAUUCUGAGGAGGUGGGCAGGGCAGGGCAGAAAUGAUGUUCCCCAUUUGGCAGUGGGGAAAACUGAGGCCCAGAGGGCACCUGACUUGCUUAAGGUCACAAAUUAGAGAUGGAGCCGGGAAGAGAAUUCAGAUUAACAUAAAAAGUUUCAAGGGACUUGAGAAGUCGUCUGGACCAAGCCUCUCGUUGUACAGAUGAGGAAACAGAGAUCGAGAGAGGUUACCCAGCAGUGAGAGAUUGACAUUAGAACCAGAUCCCUCUGCCAAUAAAUCCAGUACAUUUUCUGCAUUUCUCUCUUGGCUCUUUUUAAAAUAAUAAACAAAGGUAACUUCAAUUGUUGACUGGUCCCCUGGAGAUGUGUGUGUGUGUAUGUGUAUGUGUGUAUUUCCACUUGUCCCUACUUUUCCACGAAAACAUGUAAGGUGCCCCUUUACCUCUCCCGGAAUCAAAAAGAGGCUGGGACGCGAGUGAGUUAUUGUUAAUCCCAGCAUCCCCACCUCAGCCUAGCCUUUGUCUUCCAAGACUCCCAGGAGCCUGGUGAGCAGCCGCAUUGGGCAUCAGAAGAAUUCAGGAGUCCUAGAGUCUAGUAAAGAGAUGAGGGGAUGGUGAGCGCUUUAUCCGUUCCUGUUUAGUGGUUUUGAGGUGUGAUGUACGUAGAGGGAGAUCUGGUCCGGAAGAAGGUCGCCAGAGGCAGGAUAGAAAGUAAUGAGGGGGCCGACUUAUCCUCUCCCCCUUUUCUUCAGCAGACAGUCAUUAACGACGUUGCCUAUCCCAAUGAUCACUGUAGGGUCCGAGACCUCCGAGGCAGAAAGCCCACUAGCCCCAUCCCAUGGAGGUGGGACGUGAAAGCCUGGGGCAGUCCAGUUUCCGGGAGCACAGUGUAGAGAAUCUCGCCUGACCGAGACCCAGAAUCUUCAGCCAAUGGGCAACCUAGCGAGUUGCCAAACGAUCGGGAAAGUGGU